GGAGUUGUAGCUCAGUGGUAGAGUACAUGCCUAGUAUGUGUGAGGCACCGGGUUCAAUCCUCAGCACCA
RNAcentral lists this transfer RNA (69 nucleotides) under Urocitellus parryii (Arctic ground squirrel). Its description in RNAcentral is "Spermophilus parryii (Arctic ground squirrel) tRNA". It matches the Rfam family "tRNA". Rfam says of the family: Transfer RNA (tRNA) molecules are approximately 80 nucleotides in length. Their secondary structure includes four short double-helical elements and three loops (D, anti-codon, and T loops). Lineage: Eukaryota; Metazoa; Chordata; Mammalia; Rodentia; Sciuridae. RNAcentral also lists the same sequence under 1 other name. The record is from Rfam by way of RNAcentral.